UACGCAGGGUGCGAGCGUUGUCCGGAAUUACUGGGCGUAAAGAGCUCGUAGGUGGUUUGUCGCGUUGUCCGUGAAAACUCACAACUCAAUUGUGGGCGUGCGGGCGAUACGGGCAGACUGGAGUACUGCAGGGGAGACUGGAAUUCCUGGUGUAGCGGUGGAACGCGCAGAUAUCAGGAGGAACACCGGUGGCGAAGGCGGGUCUCUGGGCAGUAACUGACGCUGAGGAGCGAAAGCGUGGGGAGCGAACAGG
This 253-nucleotide ribosomal RNA is filed under the name uncultured bacterium. RNAcentral's name for it is "partial 16S ribosomal RNA". It matches the Rfam family "Bacterial small subunit ribosomal RNA", at positions 524 to 776 of the family's 1533-position model. The record is from RNAcentral.